This 253-nucleotide ribosomal RNA is filed under the name uncultured bacterium. Its description in RNAcentral is "partial 16S ribosomal RNA". It matches the Rfam family "Bacterial small subunit ribosomal RNA", at positions 524 to 776 of the family's 1533-position model. The record is from RNAcentral.
GACGGAGGGUGCAAGCGUUGUUCGGAAUUACUGGGCGUAAAGGGCGCGUAGGCGGUCUGUUAAGUUCGGUGUGAAAGCCCCCGGCUCACCUGGGGAACUGCGCCGGAAACCGACAGACUCGAGUACCGGAGAGGAGAGUGGAAUUCCUGGUGUAGCGGUGAAAUGCGCAGAUAUCAGGAAGAACACCUAUGGCGAAGGCAGCUCUCUGGGACGGUACUGACGCUGAGACGCGAAAGCGUGGGGAGCGAACAGG